CCUCUGGUUGUAGCAGUCCAAGUUGGCGCCGUAGCUGACGCCCAACAUGUCGCAGUAGCGCUUGUAGAACCCAAUCCGGUCGGCGACUCUGCUGUCCGCGCCGUGGCCGCACUCCACGCCGCCGUUGAUGAUGUUGGUCACCACGCCGUAGCCCGGCACGCGCCCCGCCGCCUGGUCGUUGCCGUUGGGCGUCCACUGCCCUGUCAUCACCGCGUGGCACGACGGCUUGGGCGACUGCGGCGUCAUCCAGAACCAGAACGCCGUCUUGAAGGAGACGGUGGCGUCCGACGCCACCAGGUCCGGGUUGCUCAGCAGGUUGGAGCCGAUGGCCUGCCCCGCCGGGCCGUAGUUGUAGUUGUAGGUGAUCUGGAUGGGUCCCCGGCCGUAGUACUUCUUGCCGGCGGCGCACGGCCACUCCGGCUUGGGCUCGCAGUAUGUGGGGGCGUUGCCGUUGUUCUCCUCCUUGAAGCAGUAGCCCCAGGAGUAGGGGCCGUCGGGCGCCGUGGGCCAGCCGCCGGUGGUCUCGUGGGACGUCUGCGCCAGGAAGGCGGCGACCUCGCGCUUGCAGGUGUCGGCGUCGCCGGUGGUGGCGAAGUCCGGGUAGGCGUUGGCGGCGGCGACGAAGGCGUCGUAGGUGUAGAAGCCCUUAGCGGCGCACGCCUGGUCGUUGCGGUGGAGCAGCAUCUGGUCGAAGAGCGAGGGCGAUAUGAUGGAGGCGACGCCGCUGCCGCCACCGCUGGAGGGCGGGGUCGGGCCGCCGCCGCAGCCGCCGGAGCACUGGCUCUGGCAGCCGGCGCCGCAGUAAUCGGAGGUGGAGCCGCACCAGCCGUACUGGCUGCAGCAGAGGCAGUUGGGGCAGAGCGCGCCGCCGGCCUGGCUGCCGCACUGCUCGCCGCGCACGGCCACCACCGCCAUGGCCACCACCGCGAGAGCGAGAGCUCUCAUGGCGGCCGGCAAUGUGAUGCAAUGCAAAUUAAGCUAGUUUGUUUGGUAUGA
This 996-nucleotide long non-coding RNA is filed under the name Oryza sativa Indica Group (long-grained rice). RNAcentral describes it as "lncRNA OsMH63_06G029670". Lineage: Eukaryota; Viridiplantae; Streptophyta; Magnoliopsida; Poales; Poaceae. The record is from RNAcentral.